RNAcentral lists this ribosomal RNA (251 nucleotides) under uncultured prokaryote. Its description in RNAcentral is "partial 16S rRNA". It matches the Rfam family "Bacterial small subunit ribosomal RNA", at positions 525 to 775 of the family's 1533-position model. The record is from RNAcentral.
ACGUAGGGUCCAAGCGUUAAUCGGAAUUACUGGGCGUAAAGCGUGCGUAGGCGGUUUUGCAAGUCCGAUGUGAAAUCCCCGGGCUUAACAUGGGAAUUGCAUAGGUGACUGGAAGGCUAGAGUGUGUCAGAGGGGAGUAGAAUUCCACGUGUAGCAGUGAAAUGCGUAAAUAUUUGGAGGAACACCGAUGGCGAAGGCUGCCGACUGGGAUACCACUGACGCUCAUGCACGAAAGCGUGGGGAGCAAACAG